RNAcentral lists this ribosomal RNA (1343 nucleotides) under uncultured bacterium. RNAcentral describes it as "16S ribosomal RNA". It matches the Rfam family "Bacterial small subunit ribosomal RNA". The record is from RNAcentral.
AGCGGCAGAUGGGUUAGUAACACGUGGGUAUCUACCCUAAAGUCAGGAAUAACUCCGCGAAAGCGGAGCUAAUACCUGAUAGUCCCUUCGGGGUAAAGCUUUGGCGCUUUAGGAUGAGUCCGCGGCUUAUCAGCUUGUUGGUGAGGUAAUGGCUCACCAAGGCUAUGACGGGUAGGGGAUGUGAGAGCAUGGUCCCCAACAAGGGAACUGAAACACGGUCCUUACUCCUACGGGAGGCUGCAGUCGAGAAUCUUGGACAAUGGGCGAAAGCCUGAUCCAGUGACGUCGCGUGCGGGACGAAAGGCCUUCGGGUUGUAAACCGCUUUUCUUGGGGGAAGAAAUCUUUUUGAUUGACGGUACCCCAAGGAAUAAAGGGGUGUCUAAACUCGUGCCAGCAGAAGCGGUAAUACGAGUGCCCCAAGCGUUAUCCGGAAUUAUUGGGCGUAAAGCGUCCGUAGGCGUCCAGCAAGGUUUUCUGAUUACCUCCAGCGCUUAACGUUGGAAUCACAGAAAAAACCGGUUGGAUUGAGGGUGUCAGAGGUUGAUAGAACUCACGGAGUAGGGGUGAAAUCCGUUGAUACCGUGGGGAAUACCGAAAGCGAAGGCAGUCAACUAGGACAUUCCUGACGCUGAGGGACGAAAGCGUGGGUAGCGAAAAGGAUUAGAUACCCUUGUAGUCCACGCCCUAAACUAUGCUGACUAGGUAUUUCGAGUGUCGACCCUCGGAGUGCCGAAGCUAACGCGUUAAGUCAGCCGCCUGGGAAGUACGGUCGCAAGACUAAAACUCAAAGGAAUAGACGGGGGCUCGCACAAGCGGUGGACCACGUGGCUUAAUUCGACGAUAAGCGAAGAACCUUACCAGGGCUUGACAUGCUAGGGUGUACUUUGAUGGAAACAUCAAAGGACCGUCAAUUCGGAGCCUAGCACAGGUGUUGCAUGGUUGUCGUCAGCUCGUGCCUUGAGGUGUACCCUUAAGUGGGGUAACGAGCGCAACCCCUAUCUUGUGUUUUAAAUGUCACAAGAGACUGCUUCGUUUUAACGAGGAGGAAGGCGGGGAUGACGCCAAAUCAGCAUGGCCCUUAUGUCCUGGGCGGCACACGUGGUACAAUGGUCGGUACAAUGGGUUGCUUAGUCGCAAGGCGAAGCUAAUCUCAUCAAAACCGGUCUCAGUUCGGAUUGGGGUCUGAAACCCGACCUCAUGAAGCUGGAAUCGCUAGUAAUCGCAGAUCAGCCACGCUGCGGUGAAUAUGUCCCCGAGCCUUGUACUCACCGCCCGUCACAGCAGGGAAGUCAGUUUUAUCCGAAGUUCCUACACAAGUAGGCCCUAAGAUAAGAUUGGUGAC